GUUCCGCUGGCUCAACGGAUAGAGCGCGGCCCUGCGAAGGCCGAGAUUCCAGGUUCGAUUCCUGGGCGGAACGCCA
This 76-nucleotide transfer RNA is filed under the name Ruixingdingia sedimenti. Its description in RNAcentral is "tRNA-Arg". It matches the Rfam family "tRNA". Rfam says of the family: Transfer RNA (tRNA) molecules are approximately 80 nucleotides in length. Their secondary structure includes four short double-helical elements and three loops (D, anti-codon, and T loops). Lineage: Bacteria; Pseudomonadati; Pseudomonadota; Alphaproteobacteria; Rhodobacterales; Paracoccaceae. The record is from RNAcentral.